Bombyx mori (domestic silkworm) is the source of this 809-nucleotide long non-coding RNA. RefSeq lists it as uncharacterized. The transcript is spliced from 2 exons. The record is from RefSeq and is a predicted model, not a curated record. NCBI's taxonomy places the organism in Eukaryota, Metazoa, Arthropoda, Insecta, Lepidoptera, Bombycidae.
GACUGUCUAUGGUUGGACAUAGACAAGGAAUCUAAGCUAAGUACACACUGCUUCAUAAUACAAUGCUGUAUGUUUUCCUUCUCGGCACAUAAUAUCGGUUUUAUUGUUAUGUAAAACCGUAAUAUUUUGACACAGUCGAAAUUAUAUUCCUAACAUUAGUAAAAUAACAUUUUAAUAUUUUUUUUAUAGGUUAUGUAUUGAAAUUGUUGGAAAAUUAUUUCAUGUUUUAGCUGGAAAACUACAUGGAGAAUUAUAUGCAAUACAAGAUAAUGAGCUCCAUCAAAUGAAUUCGAAUGAAACCAAACUGUUUACCAUCCAAAUUCGAUUGUCGGGCAGAUAGAAAACGAAAAUUCACUCAUAGUGAACCUCGGCCUGCAUUUGUGAAACGGCAAAGACUCACUAUUAUCAAGGAAAUUGAAGAGACGACUAAAAAUGAGAUGUGUCGUAUUAUUAUACCUUUGCCAUCUUGUAGUCAAGAUGUCCAGCCACUUGAAAAUAGGUGUAGUAAUGACAAAGCUAUCCAAGUAGCUCCAGCACAGGAACACAAAGGCAAGGCAAGUGUGUAUUGCCACAUCACCCCUUAAUAUAUCUGAAGCAAGUAUAAGUAAACAAUCAGAACCAGCAAAAAAAAAAACUGUUGUUCCUGAGGACAAAUUUGACAGUGAUGAGUCAAAUGCACCAGCAACAGAAGGAUCAACUGUUGACUAUGGGUUAUAGAAGAAGAAGAUUAAUUCAUAUUUAUUCAUUAUCGUGCAAAAUUCGUGGUCAAAACAUAUGUGUAUUUUAUAAAUAAAUAUUCAUUCUCAGUA